Molecule: ribosomal RNA, 548 nt
Filed under: Rhodotorula mucilaginosa
Lineage: Eukaryota; Fungi; Basidiomycota; Microbotryomycetes; Sporidiobolales; Sporidiobolaceae
Description: LSU rRNA
Rfam family: Eukaryotic large subunit ribosomal RNA
Source: RNAcentral
CGGCGAGCGAGCGGGAAGAGCUCAAAUUUAUAAUCUGGCACCUUCGGUGUCCGAGUUGUAAUCUCUAGAAAUGUUUUCCGCGUUGGACCGCACACAAGUCUGUUGGAAUACAGCGGCAUAGUGGUGAGACCCCCGUAUAUGGUGCGGACGCCCAGCGCUUUGUGAUACAUUUUCGAAGAGUCGAGUUGUUUGGGAAUGCAGCUCAAAUUGGGUGGUAAAUUCCAUCUAAAGCUAAAUAUUGGCGAGAGACCGAUAGCGAACAAGUACCGUGAGGGAAAGAUGAAAAGCACUUUGGAAAGAGAGUUAACAGUACGUGAAAUUGUUGGAAGGGAAACGCUUGAAGUCAGACUUGCUUGCCGAGCAAUCGGUUUGCAGGCCAGCAUCAGUUUUCCGGGAUGGAUAAUGGUAGAGAGAAGGUAGCAGUUUCGGCUGUGUUAUAGCUCUCUGCUGGAUACAUCUUGGGGGACUGAGGAACGCAGUGUGCCUUUGGCGGGGGUUUCGACCUCUUCACACUUAGGAUGCUGGUGGAAUGGCUUUAAACGACCCGU